RNAcentral lists this ribosomal RNA (441 nucleotides) under uncultured bacterium. RNAcentral's name for it is "partial 16S ribosomal RNA". It matches the Rfam family "Bacterial small subunit ribosomal RNA", at positions 339 to 795 of the family's 1533-position model. The record is from RNAcentral.
CUACGGGCCGCACCAGUGGGGAAUAUUGGGCAAUGGGCGCAAGCCUGACCCAGCAACGCCGCGUGAGGGAAGAAGGUUUUCGGAUUGUAAACCUCUGUCCUUGGGGACGAAGAAGUGACGGUACCCAAGGAGGAAGCUCCGGCUAACUACGUGCCAGCAGCCGCGGUAAGACGUAGGGAGCAAGCGUUGUCCGGAAUUACUGGGCGUAAAGGGUGCGUAGGCGGCAUAUUAAGUCAGGUGUGAAAUACUCGGGCUCAACCCGGGGGCUGCAUUUGAAACUGAUAUGCUUGAGUGUGAGAGAGGAAAGUGGAAUUCCUAGUGUAGCGGUGGAAUGCGUAGAUAUUAGGAGGAACACCAGUGGCGAAGGCGACUUUCUGGCUCAUAACUGACGCUGAGGCACGAAAGCGUGGGGAGCAAACAGGAUUAGAUACCCUGGUAGUC